GAGAAAUUAGUGUUGAAGCUUCUAACUUCGUCCUGGGGGUUGGACCUCCAUUUCUUU
Molecule: transfer RNA, 57 nt
Filed under: Berghia stephanieae
Lineage: Eukaryota; Metazoa; Mollusca; Gastropoda; Nudibranchia; Aeolidiidae
Description: tRNA-Ser
Source: RNAcentral